This 779-nucleotide ribosomal RNA is filed under the name Mirostenella articulata. Its description in RNAcentral is "eukaryotic LSU rRNA". It matches the Rfam family "Eukaryotic large subunit ribosomal RNA", at positions 367 to 1001 of the family's 3401-position model. Lineage: Eukaryota; Metazoa; Cnidaria; Anthozoa; Scleralcyonacea; Primnoidae. The record is from RNAcentral.
AAAAGAACUUUGAAAAGAGAGUUAAAAAGUACGUGAAACCGUUGAAAGGGAAGCGAAUAGAGUGAGCAAUUCUCCCUGGCGUGCUCGAUCUUUCCAGACGAGCCUUGUGCGCAUGCGUCGCGUGGACGGUGCACUUCUGCUGGGAGAAAGUCAACGUCGGUUUGCGUGUGCUCAAAAUGCCGCGAGCACGGUAGGUCUCUCGGGAUCGGUAAGGCUUGCGUGCGGAUAACUACAUGCAGACCGAGUUGCAGUCGCAGCACGUACCUGCAGGUUGAUGUCUUCGUCGUUGUAUCGGUUUACUGUCGCCAAACGGACGGCAUUGCCAGUGCGUUUGGGUGCGGCCGUUCACACGACGGGGCUAACAGACACCACGUGCUGAGGGCGUUGACAAUUCUGCGCCUCUAUCCGACCCGUCUUGAAACACGGACCAAGGAGUCUAACAUGUGCGCAAGUCUCGGAGUGAACGAAACUCGUUGGGCAUAAUGAAAGUGAAUGCAGUCUCGGCUGCAGAGAUGAGAGGCUGUCGUGGCGGCAUCAUCGACCGACCUAUUCUACUCUUAGAAAGGUUUGAGUUAGAGCGCACCUGUCGGGACCCGAAAGAUGGUGAACUAUGCUUGAAUAGGGCGAAGCCAGCGGAAACACUGGUGGAAGCCCGUAGCGAUUCUGACGUGCAAAUCGAUCGUCGAAUUUGAGUAUAGCGGCGAAAGACUAAUCGAACCGUCUAGUAGCUGGUUCCCUCCGAAGUUUCUCACAGGAUAGCUGGAACUCAGUUGCAGUUU